This 72-nucleotide transfer RNA is filed under the name Bos taurus (domestic cattle). It matches the Rfam family "tRNA". Rfam says of the family: Transfer RNA (tRNA) molecules are approximately 80 nucleotides in length. RNAcentral also lists the same sequence under 3 other names. Lineage: Eukaryota; Metazoa; Chordata; Mammalia; Artiodactyla; Bovidae. The record is from Rfam by way of RNAcentral.
UCCCUGGUGGCUCAGUGGUAAAGAAUCUGCCUGAAAAUGCAGGAGACAUGGGUUCAAUUCCUGAUCUGGGAA